Molecule: small nuclear RNA, 332 nt
Filed under: Dasypus novemcinctus (nine-banded armadillo)
Lineage: Eukaryota; Metazoa; Chordata; Mammalia; Cingulata; Dasypodidae
Description: 7SK RNA (ENSDNOG00000029830.1)
Rfam family: 7SK RNA
About the family: 7SK was discovered as an abundant small nuclear RNA in the mid-70s but a possible function has only recently been suggested. Two independent studies have found that 7SK RNA binds the CDK9/cyclin T complex (known as elongation factor P-TEFb).
Source: RNAcentral
GGACGCGAGGGCCAUCUGGCUGGGACAGCGUUCUCCCGCGGAUGGCCAGGGGCGGGUCUGCUGACUGGGCGGCUGGGCGUGCGUGCCCUUCCCUGCUCCCAGCUCCGCGGGCGUCCCCCGGGAGCUGCGCGCUGGGGGAAGAGGAUGACCUUGCCCGCCAGAGAAGGGCAGUGCUUCUGUCAAGGGUUUAGAGUACCCGGGCUCCCCUGGUGGGAUGUCCAAACAAGGCCCAUUUGUAGGCAUAGCCAAGCCCCCAAGACUCCAGGCACAGAUGAGGGGCAGCAUGAUUUUUUUUUUUUAAUGGUUUCUGACAGGAAGUUUUUCCAUAAUUC